Suncus etruscus (white-toothed pygmy shrew) is the source of this 132-nucleotide small nucleolar RNA. The record is from RefSeq and is a predicted model, not a curated record. Lineage: Eukaryota; Metazoa; Chordata; Mammalia; Eulipotyphla; Soricidae.
UAGGCUCUAAGAAAUGACUUUAUAUUUAACUGCUGGUUUCAAACAGGAGCCUAAAGAAAUGUCUUUCUAUGGUCUGUUGACCAUUUCAGAAUUCUGAAAGUGUCAUGGUCAAUUCCUUAGAAAGAAACAUCU